UUUCAAUUUUUCGGGGAUGGGGCCCUUCAUGAUGCAGCAGAUGCCCGACGAGAGGAGAGGACACAGUUAUGGCACCAUGGUACAUCCGAGCUUUCCCCCGAAUGUUGCGACGUCGUCGCACACUCUCAUACACAACGGACCUCCUCAGUCGCAAAGUCAACACUAUAUGCCUGCUUCAAGCUCUAAUCCAAAGUAGUGGGCCUUGCAAGAAUCCUGUUAUUUUUCUUUAUAACCGAUGUGAUUUGACUAUUUAGUUAUUUUGAUAAUAUCGUGUUUAUAGGUAUUUCUUCACUAUCCCCACCACUUUGGUUUAUUUAUUACCUACGAGAGUUGAUAUUAAGUUGGGGACAGACGUGCGUGCAGUGCAGACAGUGAAGAGAUUAUUAAGUAAUAUUGUAGACUUGAUGUAAAGAAAAAUAUGUAUAUGAAUAAAUUUUAUCAAGAAAUUAUUAUUGAAGUGUAAA
Long non-coding RNA from Zophobas morio, 464 nucleotides. RefSeq lists it as uncharacterized. The record is from RefSeq and is a predicted model, not a curated record. Lineage: Eukaryota; Metazoa; Arthropoda; Insecta; Coleoptera; Tenebrionidae. The transcript has 2 exons.